GCUGGUGUGGUUCAGUGGUAGAACAUUGGCCCACGCGCCAAAGGAUAGUGUGUUCGAUUCAUUUCAAGGGUG
RNAcentral lists this transfer RNA (72 nucleotides) under Myotis lucifugus (little brown bat). It matches the Rfam family "tRNA". Rfam says of the family: Transfer RNA (tRNA) molecules are approximately 80 nucleotides in length. Their secondary structure includes four short double-helical elements and three loops (D, anti-codon, and T loops). Lineage: Eukaryota; Metazoa; Chordata; Mammalia; Chiroptera; Vespertilionidae. The record is from Rfam by way of RNAcentral.